UACGUAGGGUGCAAGCGUUGUCCGGAAUUAUUGGGCGUAAAGAGCUCGUAGGCGGUCUGUCACGUCGGCUGUGAAAACCCGGGGCUCAACCCCGGGCCUGCAGUCGAUACGGGCAAACUAGAGUUCGGCAGGGGAGACUGGAAUUCCUGGUGUAGCGGUGAAAUGCGCAGAUAUCAGGAGGAACACCGGUGGCGAAGGCGGGUCUCUGGGCCGAUACUGACGCUGAGGAGCGAAAGCGUGGGGAGCGAACAGG
RNAcentral lists this ribosomal RNA (253 nucleotides) under uncultured bacterium. RNAcentral describes it as "partial 16S ribosomal RNA". It matches the Rfam family "Bacterial small subunit ribosomal RNA", at positions 524 to 776 of the family's 1533-position model. The record is from RNAcentral.